RNAcentral lists this long non-coding RNA (283 nucleotides) under Brassica napus (rape). Its description in RNAcentral is "long non-coding RNA (BNAP_LNC003561)". Lineage: Eukaryota; Viridiplantae; Streptophyta; Magnoliopsida; Brassicales; Brassicaceae. The record is from RNAcentral.
GUUUCAGUAUGAACCAAAACAAAACUUGAAAAGAGUAACCGUCGGAUCUUUGUUUCUGAAUUUGAAAGUUCAGGUAGUUAUGAACUGUGAUUUGUGAGCUUCUCCUUGAAUCCCAAACGAUUUGUGAUUUGUUACUUGAGGAUAGUAACUUUGCUUGGCUAUAGUUUUGUUGUUAUUUUGUAUUUGGCGGUGUGUGGUACUAGCUUCCAAGGGCGUGUGCAUUAGUUGAUUAUUCACAAGUUUUACGUUAUUUCAUCAGUAACACUUCUUUGUCUAUUUGUUU